This 510-nucleotide ribosomal RNA is filed under the name uncultured bacterium. RNAcentral's name for it is "partial 16S ribosomal RNA". It matches the Rfam family "Bacterial small subunit ribosomal RNA", at positions 28 to 507 of the family's 1533-position model. The record is from RNAcentral.
GACGAACGCUGGCGGCGUGCUUAACACAUGCAAGUCGAACGAAGAGCGAUGGAAGCUUGCUUCUAUCAAUCUUAGUGGCGAACGGGUGAGUAACGCGUAAUCAACCUGCCCUUCAGAGGGGGACAACAGUUGGAAACGACUGCUAAUACCGCAUACGAUCUAACCUCGGCAUCGAGGAUAGAUGAAAGGUGGCCUCUACAUGUAAGCUAUCACUGAAGGAGGGGAUUGCGUAUGAUUAGCUAGUUGGAGGGGUAACGGCCCACCAAGGCGAUGAUCAGUAGCCGGUCUGAGAGGAUGAACGGCCACAUUGGGACUGAGACACGGCCCAGACUCCUACGGGAGGCAGCAGUGGGGAAUCUUCCGCAAUGGACGAAAGUCUGACGGAGCAACGCCGCGUGAGUGAUGACGGCCUUCGGGUUGUAAAGCUCUGUUAAUCGGGACGAAAGGCCUUCUUGCGAAUAGUGAGAAGGAUUGACGGUACCGGAAUAGAAAGCCACGGCUAACUACGUG